This is an RNA transcript of Calypte anna (Anna's hummingbird), 505 nucleotides long. It is a transcript of the gene named tetratricopeptide repeat protein 38-like, with no coding region annotated. The record is from RefSeq and is a predicted model, not a curated record. The transcript has 5 exons. Lineage: Eukaryota; Metazoa; Chordata; Aves; Apodiformes; Trochilidae.
CCCGAUGCUGUCCCGGCCUCGGCCCCGCCUCCUCCUGCUCCUCCUUCCCCUAGCCGAGGGGCGGUACGGAGCCGCCCGGGGAGUGUAGCGGGGCUUCUGAGGGGGUAUCAUGGCGCCGGUCAGGGACUGCAAGGCCUGGGAGGAUGCUGGUCUUUCCCUGUCCACAACUAGCAAUGGAGCCUGUAAACUAUUUGAUGCUGCGCUGACCCAGUAUGCAACCUGGAGCAAUAAUGAGAGCCUUGGAGGUAUUGAGGGGUGUCUCUCAAAAUUAAAAGCAGCAGAUCCAAAUUUUAACUUCUAGGACCAAGUUUAUCCUUUCUGGAAACCUGGUAAUCCAGUAAGCAGAAGACAGAGAACAGACUGAAUGCUGAAAUAAUAGUGAAGCUAACUGAGGUACCCCACAACUGCAGCACAGCAUCGUGACAGGAGCCUUGGUUGGGGAAAAAAAAGGUAAAGAAAAAAAAAAUCACCUGUAUUUCAAUCCAGAAAAUAAAUCAGUUGCAAC